This 821-nucleotide ribosomal RNA is filed under the name uncultured bacterium. RNAcentral's name for it is "bacterial SSU rRNA". It matches the Rfam family "Bacterial small subunit ribosomal RNA", at positions 8 to 824 of the family's 1533-position model. The record is from RNAcentral.
AGAGUUUGAUCCUGGCUCAGGAUGAACGCUGGCGGCGUGCCUAACACAUGCAAGUCGAACGGAGUUUAUUUUAUAGAUUUUCUUCGGAAUUGAAGUAGUUUAAACUUAGUGGCGGACGGGUGAGUAACGCGUGGGUAACCUGCCUCAUACAGGGGAAUAACAACCGGAAACGGCUGCUAAAACCGCAUAAUAAAGAGAGAUCGCAUGAUCUAUCUUUUAAAUAUUUAUAGGUAUGAGAUGGGCCCGCGUCUGAUUAGCUAGUUGGUGAGAUAAAAGCUCACCAAGGCGACGAUCAGUAGCCGGCUUGAGAGAGUGACCGGCCACAUUGGGACUGAGACACGGCCCAAACUCCUACGGGAGGCAGCAGUGGGGAAUAUUGCACAAUGGGGGAAACCCUGAUGCAGCGACGCCGCGUGAGUGAAGAAGUAUUUCGGUAUGUAAAGCUCUAUCAGCAGGGAAGAAAAUGACGGUACCUGACUAAGAAGCCCCGGCUAACUACGUGCCAGCAGCCGCGGUAAUACGUAGGGGGCAAGCGUUAUCCGGAUUUACUGGGUGUAAAGGGAGCGUAGGUGGCAAAUCAAGUCAGAUGUGAAAGCCCGGGGCUCAACCCCGGGAUUGCAUUUGAAACUGGUAUGCUAGAGUGCAGGAGAGGUAAGUGGAAUUCCUAGUGUAGCGGUGAAAUGCGUAGAUAUUAGGAGGAACACCAGUGGCGAAGGCGGCUUACUGGACUGUAACUGACACUGAGGCUCGAAAGCGUGGGGAGCAAACAGGGAUUAGAUACCCUGGUAGUCCACGCCGUAAACGAUGGAAUACUAGGUGUC